This 78-nucleotide transfer RNA is filed under the name Candidatus Bathyarchaeota archaeon. RNAcentral describes it as "tRNA-Val". It matches the Rfam family "tRNA". From Rfam's summary of the family: Transfer RNA (tRNA) molecules are approximately 80 nucleotides in length. Their secondary structure includes four short double-helical elements and three loops (D, anti-codon, and T loops). The record is from RNAcentral. Lineage: Archaea; Thermoproteati; Candidatus Bathyarchaeota. RNAcentral also lists the same sequence under 1 other name.
GGGCCGGUCGUCUAGCAUGGUUAGGACGUCUGCCUGACGCGCAGAAGGUCGCCGGUUCAAGUCCGGCCCGGCCCACCA